GGAUCAUGGCUCAGGGGUAGAACGCUUGCCUAGUAUGCAUGAGGCACUGGGUUCAGUCCCUAGUACCA
RNAcentral lists this transfer RNA (68 nucleotides) under Marmota monax (woodchuck). RNAcentral describes it as "tRNA.Thr". The record is from RNAcentral. Lineage: Eukaryota; Metazoa; Chordata; Mammalia; Rodentia; Sciuridae.